Molecule: non-coding RNA, 132 nt
Organism: Ceratotherium simum simum (southern white rhinoceros)
Lineage: Eukaryota; Metazoa; Chordata; Mammalia; Perissodactyla; Rhinocerotidae
Source: RefSeq, a predicted model, not a curated record
GCAUCAGCCAGGAGACAGACAGCUGUGCAUGUGUUCCUGGAGCAGCCUGUACACAGCCUGUGAGAUCCAGGGUGGGCAGAAAGGACCCUCUCCUCCAAAUACGCAGAAUCUGUGCUCUCAUUGCUGAUUCUG